GAUGAACGCUAGCGGGAGGCCUAACACAUGCAAGCCGAGCGGUAUGGGUAGCUUGCUACCCAGAGAGCGGCGUACGGGUGCGUAACACGUGUGCAACCUGCCCCUAUCCGGGGGAUAGCCCUCCGAAAGGAGGAUUAAUACCCCAUAAUAUAUCUGGUGGCAUCACUAGAUAUUGAAAACCCCGGUGGAUAGGGAUGGGCACGCGCAAGAUUAGAUAGUUGGCGGGGUAACGGCCCACCAAGCCGAUGAUCUUUAGGGGUCCUGAGAGGGAGAUCCCCCACACUGGUACUGAGACACGGACCAGACUCCUACGGGAGGCAGCAGUGAGGAAUAUUGGACAAUGGGUGGAAGCCUGAUCCAGCCAUCCCGCGUGAGGGACGACGGCCCUAUGGGUUGUAAACCUCUUUUGUACGGGGAUAAACCUAUCUACGUGUAGAUAGCUGAAGGUACCGUACGAAUAAGCACCGGCUAACUCCGUG
Molecule: ribosomal RNA, 479 nt
Filed under: uncultured bacterium
Lineage: Bacteria
Description: partial 16S ribosomal RNA
Rfam family: Bacterial small subunit ribosomal RNA
Source: RNAcentral